RNAcentral lists this ribosomal RNA (487 nucleotides) under uncultured bacterium. Its description in RNAcentral is "partial 16S ribosomal RNA". It matches the Rfam family "Bacterial small subunit ribosomal RNA", at positions 28 to 507 of the family's 1533-position model. The record is from RNAcentral.
GACGAACGCUGGCGGCGUGCUUAACACAUGCAAGUCGAACGGAAAGGCUCCAGCUUGCUGGAGUACUCGAGUGGCGAACGGGUGAGUAACACGUGGGUAAUCUGCCCUGCACUCUGGGAUAAGCCUGGGAAACUGGGUCUAAUACUGGAUAUGACCUUUCUCCUUAUGGGGUUUGGUGGAAAGUUUUUCGGUGUAGGAUGAGCCCGCGGCCUAUCGGCUUGUUGGUGGGGUGAUGGCUUACCAAGGCGACGACGGGUAGCCGGCCUGAGAGGGUGAUCGGCCGCCUGGGAAGUGAGACACGCACCAGACGACUACGGGAGGGAGCAGUCGGGAAUGGUAGGCAAUGGGCGAGAGUCUGACGCAGCGAGGCGGAGUGAGAGAUGACGGCCUUGGGUUCGUAAAGACCUGUUACGAGUGAUGAACAUCUGUGUACGGAGACGAAGCGAUCGUGACGGUACCUAAAGAGAAAGCACCGGCUAACUACGUG